RNAcentral lists this long non-coding RNA (1817 nucleotides) under Monodelphis domestica (gray short-tailed opossum). Its description in RNAcentral is "lncRNA (ENSMODG00000039224.1)". Lineage: Eukaryota; Metazoa; Chordata; Mammalia; Didelphimorphia; Didelphidae. The record is from RNAcentral.
GGUUAUAACUGGCUUUCAGUUUGACAGAGCCCUGAAAUCUAACAUGUAAGAACCAAUCUUUUCCAUCAACAGUUGGGUAGCCAGAUGGUAGAUCUCUAGUUUUGAGCUAGGAAUCUAAAACCCCAAGUUAGUGGUUCUACCAAAAAGCUCCCCUGUGCUUCAGAAUCAAACCCGAGAACAAAAGGAGGUGACUGAUGUUGAAAUGGACAGAGAGCUCUGAUCAGGAAGACAUGAAUUCAAAAUUGACUUCAGACCCUCAUUAGAUGUAUGACCCAUUGCAAUUCCUUUAAUCUGUGUUUGCCUCAGUUUCUGGAACUGGAAAAUGGGGAUGAUAAUAAUUCCAACCCUUCAGGGGUGCUGCGAGGAUCAAAUGAGGUAAUAUUUAUAAAGUACUUAGCUCACAGUGGGAGUUAAAUAAAUGUUUAUUUCUUCUUUCCUUCUUUUCCAGGAGAACAAAAGCACUGGAGAGUUUUCCAAAGUCUCAGCCAAUGAAGAGGGCAGAAAGCAUUCUCUACCCUACUCUCUGGCUCUGAGAGAGAAGCUUGUUUCCUGUCAUUUAAAGCUCAAUUGACUUAUAUACAAAUAGCCUCUCUGACUACUUUAGUCAUGUGUACUUUUCUUUUUCUUUUCUUUUUUUUAUGUAUAAAAACUACAUAAGCUUAAGUAUGAUCUAGAAGAGGAAACAACCCGCCCACUGUGUACACAGAGAGCCUUGCAUUGCCACAAACUCCUUCAGACAUAACCUCAUGAUUUCAGCAACUGACAGAAAAGCGGGCUGUCAUUUUAUUGAUAAUCCAGCAGGGGGAUGUAAUAUACCAUUUGUCCACCAGGUGGUGAUGCACUCAAAUCACCAGCAAUGUGGUUUCCUCGGAGACCAUCCUUUGCAGGUACCUGGGCUUUUCCCAACUGCUGCAGUAUCCUCACUGCUCACUAGAGGGCGUUUUGCCUGCAAACUCUUAAACUAAACUCUCCAUCAGUCGGGACGGAACAGGUUCCGUGGUGCUAACUUGCCAGAUUUAAAACCGAGCCUAAAGAAAAAGAACUAUCCUUCUGAAAUAUGAGUAUUCUGAAAAUAGAAGCCUGGCUCUUUGGGGGUUCUGUCAUUGGAAAAGGCCCUAUUGUCAGUUAAACCAACUUCAUUUAGAAGACUUUUUCGGUGGCCACAUAGCUUAUUAAACCACAGCAAAGGAGUUAAUGCAGAGCAUAUUUUGCAUAGCAAAACUGUAGAGUUGUUUUGACCAAUCAUCUCCGUUCCACUCUUCCUGCUUUUUCCAAGUGGUUAAAUGUUUGGAGCCUGCGAAAGGGUUUCAAAUUUAGGAUCAGCCAAGAUGCACUCCACAAAAAAAAUAAGAGAAAAAAACUGAGGCAAGGUUGGGAUUGUUCAGCCAGGCUGAUCUCACUGGUGGAGAACAUUUGACCACAGUUUCCAGACUAGCGUCUUUUGCAACUCUGGGUCUGCUUGGAAAUGCUUGCUCUGUUUCAUGAUCCCACAGCCUGUUCUCAUGUUUUAGGCUCUCCAGCUUCUGUGCCUUUCACUGUGGCCACCUUGAGCUUCAGCAGUAGCAUUAAGCUUAGUAAGUAGCCAUCUGAGUAAUAAGCAGCCAGCAAGAGGCAGUCCAGCUACCAGCAGGGUUGAAAGAAUGGCAUGGAAUGGCCAACUGGGACUCUUUUCCAGGUAAAGAGGAGGAAAAGGAACUUGGAGAUGUUGGAAAAUGCAGGCUUUCCUUACUGUCUUGACAAUCUAGUUCCUCUGGUCAACUUCCUGAAGGCAUGAAAAUAUCUGUUACCUAAGUGAUUGCCAGGAUGAGGAUUCAAAC